Long non-coding RNA from Esox lucius (northern pike), 1228 nucleotides. The record is from Ensembl. NCBI's taxonomy places the organism in Eukaryota, Metazoa, Chordata, Actinopteri, Esociformes, Esocidae.
CAAAACCCUUUUUUCUAGAUGUUUCUGAAACAGGACAAGUCAACGGGGUCCUGUUUCAGAAAAAAGGGGGAGAUAGGAACAUCCUCAUGUACAUAAGCGUAGGAUUUGACAAAAUCGAAAAAAGGCACCCCACCUGUACACAGUACGCUGCAGGGGUAGCGAGACUCAUUCAAAAAUGUGCACACAGUGAUGGGACAUCAACUUCAGAUACUCACAACACACAGUGUAGUGGCAUAUGUAAACUCACAGAUGUUCACUAUGACUUCCCUCAGGCAACAACACCUAAGUAAAAUUCUCGGGGCUCCAAAUUUGACUUUCACACACGAGGGGAUAAUAUAUGGCAGACCGGAUGGGGACGGGGCUACCACAUGAGUGCGCGCAAGGGAGGGUAAGACACGAACCGAUCAGGAGGCAGAACCGAUUAAACACGAGGCGGCGAUGAGAGAACUAGCCGAGGCCCUAGACCUGCCCGAAAAGGUAGCCAUCAUAAAAUGCAAAGGACAUGAUAACUCAAAUAGUGCAGUAGCUCAGGGAAAUCAAGCAGCAGACACAGCAGCGAAACAGGCAGCAGAGUACACUCCGCGAGUAAUGAUGGUAAGAACAGAAGAGGAAGUGGGGUGGGGAGAAGGCUCUGAGAGAGACGAGCUAGUGAGACAUCAAAAGGGGGCUUCCCCACAAGAGAAAACAAUUUGGCGACAGAGAGGAGCAACAGAGACGAGAGGGCUGUGGAGAGGGCCAGACGAAUUCACCAACAGUCGGAGAAAGGAAGAACCUGUACCCGUUGGACCAGAACCUGCCCCGGGUGGAGUGGGUGAUCCUGAAGGUCAUCAAGCGAAAGUGGUCGGAGCCAAGGUGGACGGGUCCUCAUCAGGAGGUGGAGAGAACAAGCCAUGCGGUCCACCUGAGGGACAAAGGAGAGACGUGGUACCAUUGGAGCCAGAGUACACCAGCGCAGGAGCCAGGGAGGUCACUGACGGACCUCAUCCAAACCGGGAAGGAGGAGCUUUCCCCAGUGUGGACGGAAGGAGGACCAAAACCAGCCGGACCGGUGCCAGGAGCGGACCCCAGGAUACUGCGGGACUACGAGCGAGAGAAGAAGACAAAGGACGGCGCCAGGGGAAUAGCCUUUUAGGGGAAGGAACUGAAGAACACUAACAAAAGGGGUAUAGGACACCGAGUGGCUCCUACCACUCGUACCAAGAUGACAGGGUUACAGAGAAAGGUCUGG